AGAGUUUGAUCCUGGCUCAGAACGAACGCUGGCGGCGCGUUUUAAGCAUGCAAGUCGAACGGUAUACAGUGCUUGCACUGUAGAGAGUGGCGAACGGGUGAGUAACACGUAGGUAAUCUACCUCUGGGUACGGGGAUAGCUCAUGGAAACAUGAGGUAAUACCCGAUAAGUCUUUAGCUAUUAAUUAGCUUAAGAGAAAGGCGCUAUGGUGCCGACCCGAGAUGAGCCUGCGGCUGAUUAGCUAGUUGGUGGGGUAAAAGCCUACCAAGGCGAUGAUUAGUAGCCGGCCUGAGAGGGUGACCGGCCACACUGGGACUGAGACACGGCCCAGACUCCUACGGGAGGCAGCAGCUAAGAAUCUUCCGCAAUGGACGAAAGUCUGACGGAGCGACGCCGCGUGAACGAAGAAGGCCGUGAGGUUGUAAAGUUCUUUUCUUGUGGAGGAAUAACGUUAGGAGUGACUGCCUGACAGAUGACGUCAAACAAGGAAUAAGCCCCGGCUAAUUACGUGCCAGCAGCCGCGGUAACACGUAAGGGGCAAGCGUUGUUCGGAAUUGUUGGGCGUAAAGGGCGCGUAGGCGGUUUAUCAAGUCUGGUGUGAAAGACCACAGCUCAACUGUGGGAACGCAUUGGAAACUGAUAGACUAGAGUAUAGGAGGGGAAACUGGAAUUCCUGGUGUAGGGGUGAAAUCUGUAGAUAUCAGGAAGAACACCGGUGGCGAAGGCGAGUUUCUGGCCAUAUACUGACGCUGAGGCGCGAAAGCGUGGGGAGCGAACAGGAUUAGAUACCCUGGUAGUCCACGCUGUAAACGAUGUGCACUAGGUGUCGGUCCGGUUGAGCUAUCAUGACGGAAAGUUAUGAUGGUUGAAUCGGAUCGGUGCCGCAGCUAACGCGUUAAGUGCACCGCCUGGGGAGUAUGCCCGCAAGGGUGAAACUCAAAGGAAUUGACGGGGGCCCGCACAAGCGGUGGAGCAUGUGGUUUAAUUCGAUGAUACGCGAGAAACCUUACCAGGGCUUGACAUAUACUGGAAUGGUGUAGAGAUACAUCAGCUGCUUGCAGUCGGUAUACAGGUGCUGCAUGGUUGUCGUCAGCUCGUGCUGUGAAGUGUUGGGUUAAGUCCCGCAACGAGCGCAACCCCUGCUGUCUGUUGCUAACAUUAAGUUGAGGACUCAGACGGUACUGCCGGUGACAAACCGGAGGAAGGUGGGGACGACGUCAAAUCAUCAUGGCCCUUAUGUCCUGGGCUACACACGUGCUACAAUGGUCGGUACAGAGUGAAGCGAAGCGGCGACGUGGAGCAAAUCGCAGAAAGCCGGCCUCAGUUCGGAUUGAAGUCUGAAACUCGACUUCAUGAAGGUGGAAUCGCUAGUAAUCGCGCAUCAGCAUGGCGCGGUGAAUACGUUCCCGGGCCUUGUACACACCGCCCGUCACACCACCCGAGUUGGGGGUACCCGAAGUCGCUAGUCUAACCAGUAAUGGAGGACGGUGCCGAAGGUAUGCCUGGUAAGGGGGGUGAAGUCGUAACAAGGUA
Molecule: ribosomal RNA, 1533 nt
Filed under: metagenome
Description: bacterial SSU rRNA
Rfam family: Bacterial small subunit ribosomal RNA
Source: RNAcentral